Molecule: ribosomal RNA, 419 nt
Filed under: uncultured bacterium
Lineage: Bacteria
Description: bacterial SSU rRNA
Rfam family: Bacterial small subunit ribosomal RNA
Source: RNAcentral
AUUGAACGCUGGCGGCAGGCCUAACACAUGCAAGUCGAGCGGUAGAGAGGUGCUUGCAUCUCUUGAGAGCGGCGGACGGGUGAGUAAUGCCUAGGAAUCUGCCUAGUGGUGGGGGAUAACGUUCGGAAACGGACGCUAAUACCGCAUACGUCCUACGGGAGAAAGCGGGGGAUCUUCGGACCUCGCGCCAUUAGAUGAGCCUAGGUCGGAUUAGCUAGUUGGUGAGGUAAUUGGCUCACCAAGGCGACGAUCCGUAACUGGUCUGAGAGGAUGAUCAGUCACACUGGAACUGAGACACGGUCCAGACUCCUACGGAGGCAGCAGUGGGAAUAUUGGACAAUGGCGAAAGCCUGAUCCAGCCAUAGCCGCGUGUGUGAAGAAGGUCUUCGGAUUGUAAAGCACUUUAAGUUGGGACGGAA